GUCCGGUUCGAAAACGCCGCUCCGAGGUCACUUCUCAUUCAUCGUCUGGUGAAUCAUCGGCCACCCAGCUACCACCUUUGAAAACAGUUGCUGGGGCUAAACCGAAACCAAGCAAGAAGGCCCGCCUGGAUAGAGCGGCUGAAGAAGAUGUGGCCCCAGAAUAUGACCAAGCACCUGAUCAUGAAGUGUUUACUUGUGAAGAUAUCCCCAAUGAUCCUCCUCUGCAAGACAACGUUAUCCCUGAAGAAGGUCCUAUUCAUAUUCCAGCCUCUGCUGAUCCGCCUGCCAGCUCUGUCCAGAUUGAGAAAUCCCACACUCCUGCUGACAAACCGGCCGCACCAACCCAAACCGGCGAGUCAAAAGAUGAUGAUGUUGUGAUUACCGGCGUAGGCCGCUCUGAACCUGGGAAUCCUGCCACCCU
Molecule: long non-coding RNA, 421 nt
Organism: Triticum aestivum (bread wheat)
Lineage: Eukaryota; Viridiplantae; Streptophyta; Magnoliopsida; Poales; Poaceae
Exons: 3
Source: RefSeq, a predicted model, not a curated record